UCGCUGUGAAGAUGCAGUGUACCCGCGGCAAGACGGAAAGACCCCGUGAACCUUUACUAUAGCUUGACACUGAACAUUGAGCCUUGAUGUGUAGGAUAGGUGGGAGGCUUUGAAGUGUGGACGCCAGUCUGCAUGGAGCCGACCUUGAAAUACCACCCUUUAAUGUUUGAUGUUCUAACGUUGACCCGUAAUCCGGGUUGCGGACAGUGUCUGGUGGGUAGUUUGACUGGGGCGGUCUCCUCCUAAAGAGUAACGGAGGAGCACGAAGGUUGGCUAAUCCUGGUCGGACAUCAGGAGGUUAGUGCAAUGGCAUAAGCCAGCUUGACUGCGAGCGUGACGGCGCGAGCAGGUGCGAAAGCAGGUCAUAGUGAUCCGGUGGUUCUGAAUGGAAGGGCCAUCGCUCAACGGAUAAAAGGUACUCCGGGGAUAACAGGCUGAUACCGCCCAAGAGUUCAUAUCGACGGCGGUGUUUGGCACCUCGAUGUCGGCUCAUCACAUCCUGGGGCUGAAGUAGGUCCCAAGGGUAUGGCUGUUCGCCAUUUAAAGUGGUACGCGAGCUGGGUUUAGAACGUCGUGAGACAGUUCGGUCCCUAUCUGCCGUGGGCGCUGGAGAACUGAGGGGGGCUGCUCCUAGUACGAGAGGACCGGAGUGGACGCAUCACUGGUGUUCGGGUUGUCAUGCCAAUGGCACUGCCCGGUAGCUAAAUGCGGAAGAGAUAAGUGCUGAAAGCAUCUAAGCACGAAACUUGCCCCGAGAUGAGUUCUCCCUGACUCCUUGAGAGUCCUGAAGGAACGUUGAAG
RNAcentral lists this ribosomal RNA (801 nucleotides) under Escherichia coli. RNAcentral's name for it is "partial 23S ribosomal RNA". It matches the Rfam family "Bacterial large subunit ribosomal RNA", at positions 2048 to 2843 of the family's 2925-position model. Lineage: Bacteria; Pseudomonadati; Pseudomonadota; Gammaproteobacteria; Enterobacterales; Enterobacteriaceae. The record is from RNAcentral.